ACCGUGCAGACGUCAGCGAUCGCCUCGACAUCGCUGCGAGCGCUCGAAGAGACAAAAUCCGAAACGACGUCAGCCGGGGCGUCGAGCACGCCGCCCGCACUGUUCGCACUCGUGCUCGGAAAUGGCGAAGGGGCCGCGCUAGGAUGCCUUGAAUCGGUGAGCGGCGGUACCGCGGCGAUUGCAAGAGCUCGAAUCGGCCGUGCGAAAGCCAAAUAUUGGCGCUCGGCUCGGCGCAGUACGCCGCCGCGUCG
Molecule: long non-coding RNA, 251 nt
Filed under: Dermacentor andersoni
Lineage: Eukaryota; Metazoa; Arthropoda; Arachnida; Ixodida; Ixodidae
Description: uncharacterized LOC126518970
Source: RNAcentral